Molecule: ribosomal RNA, 603 nt
Filed under: uncultured bacterium
Lineage: Bacteria
Description: bacterial SSU rRNA
Rfam family: Bacterial small subunit ribosomal RNA (bases 1-516)
Source: RNAcentral
CCUACGGGAGGCAGCAGUGGGGAAUAUUGGACAAUGGGCGAAAGCCUGAUCCAGCAAUGCCGCGUGAGUGAUGAAGGCCUUAGGGUUGUAAAGCUCUUUUACCAGGGAUGAUAAUGACAGUACCUGGAGAAUAAGCUCCGGCUAACUCCGUGCCAGCAGCCGCGGUAAUACGGAGGGAGCUAGCGUUGUUCGGAAUUACUGGGCGUAAAGCGUGCGUAGGCGGUGACUCAAGUCAGAGGUGAAAGCCUGGAGCUCAACUCCAGAACUGCCUUUGAAACUAGGUCGCUAGAAUCAUGGAGAGGUGAGUGGAAUUCCGAGUGUAGAGGUGAAAUUCGUAGAUAUUCGGAAGAACACCAGUGGCGAAGGCGGCUCACUGGACAUGUAUUGACGCUGAGGCACGAAAGCGUGGGGAGCAAACAGGAUUAGAUACCCUGGUAGUCCACGCCGUAAACGAUGAUAACUAGCUGCCAGGGCUCNUGNGNGUUGUGGNGCNGCGACGCGAGUAGUUAGUCCGCCGUGGGAGGUAACGGUCGUCGAGAGUUAAACGUUAAAGUUAGUAAGUUAGNGGCGNGAGAGNGCGACGGACGACGACGAGGGAGGAGG